AGGGAUGCAACACGAGGACUUCC
This 23-nucleotide non-coding RNA is filed under the name Arabidopsis thaliana (thale cress). Lineage: Eukaryota; Viridiplantae; Streptophyta; Magnoliopsida; Brassicales; Brassicaceae. The record is from RNAcentral.